UUCGCAAAGCAAGGAGCAGAGACUUGAUUUUUUUCUUUUCUGAACUUACAAACAGCUGACACUGGUUUCGCACCAAAAGGAGGGAACCUUUUUUUUUCCCAAUAUCUAUCUUGUGGCUGACCACAAAUAAGUCUUACAACAUGCUCACUUAUCCACUCGUAUCAUCCUCACUGGCCGCUGCCGCUGCCGCCGCCACCACCGCUUUGCUGCUCUCCUCCGCGCUUCUCCCUGGCUCUCGCGCCCGCCGCUGUGCGGCACCAGGCGCCACCGCGCGUCGAGGUACAGGGUGAGGGCGAACCUCCACGGGCUGGACUCCACCCGGGGGUCUCCACGCGACAUCGACGCACCGCCGCCGUCUCGCCCUCGCUGUUCCAGCCGCCGCACCGAACCGAGUGCCGCCGCGCUUCGGGUGCAGGGUGAGGGCGAGCCUCUCCACGGGAUCCGUCGGGGCGCUCCUCGCGGGUGGCCGCCGCAGUCGUCUCAACCUCUGCCCCCGCCGUUGUAUCGCAUCGGGUGCCACCGGGCGUCGGGUUCCAGGGUGGGGGCGAGCCACCACGGGCUGCACUCCAUCGAGGGCCUCCAGGCAGCGCUCGAGCGCGCGGAGGCGGCGCUCUGCACGCUCGCCGACGCAGAACAGUCGCGAAUCCUGAUAUUCAGAGGGCCAGAAGUAUGUCAGGUGGUGGUGGGCUAUCUAGUGAUUGUGAUGAGGAAGUGGCGACUAAUAUGGGGAUCAGCUACACAACGAAUAUUUGGAGGCGGCUGGAGGGGGAGUGUGCAGUUGUUUCGCGCCGCUCUAUGGCUCAUUGUUGCAAGACAUACUGGUGCGUUGCUUUCUUUACUGCUGAUGUAGAGAAGACUUGAUGCCCAGUUCGCGCUAGUAGUCUGGAGGUCACUGGUGCCCCGUUCUUCCUAUUAUUCACUUGGAGGAGGUCACUGUCAAUCUGUCAUAACGGGCUAGGGAAACGAGGACUCACUGCCCAACAUGAUGGAGGAAGGAGGAAGCAAGAAAGAAGUCGAUGUUCUUUCUGGGGUCAGCUUUAUACUUCCAGGGAUGAUUUUUCUUCCGCAGCAGUUCCUUCCUUUUUUUUAUAAUGGAUUUCGCUGGUUCUGUACAUUAGGAUACGGUGGUCUUGGACAUCAAUGUAGGCUUUGGUUCCCUUUUUAUUUGAUGUCAGCAAUGAAAAAAUCUGGGGAAAAAGAUGGAUGCUGCGACUGUAUUUGCGUGGUUUCAGGGUUAGAUAGGAUGCAUGUCAUUUUUUCCACCGGGUCCAUGGGCUGGAAAGCACAUGGCUUUGAGCAAACGCACAGUCCUAGCGUUUGGCACGCGCGGGAUUAGCUGUUCCUUUUUUUUGGAAAGAAACGUGAUUUUGUGUCUUUCCUAAAGUAGGUUGUCCGAACUGACCACUUUUUUUUUCUUAAAUAGUGGCUGACCACUAUGUAGUCAAGCCCUUUUUUUUGCAGGGAAAAAGGAGGAAACCUUGUGAACCGUUCCUAUUCUUUGAAGUGCAGUUCAAAGAGCACAAAGGAUUCGCUUCUCCGAAAAUAAAAUUGGAAGCUGCUAGCAGAAGUGGGUUAGGCAAACAAAGUCCAGAGUGUAAUUACCGGGGAGAAAAAAAUACCUGAAGUAUAUAUAGCUAUCGUACUACUGCAAUAAACCAUAACUGCAGGCCCGCAGCUGCGGCCUGCUGGGGUUCAGCAAUAGAGCGCAUGCAGAGCCAGACCGAAUGAGUGAAUGACACACACCCUGAAUGGCUGAACUCUCAUACAGUACUAGUAAUGGCGUUUCAGGAUUUUUUUGGCGGUUCAACUACACGUCUACUCCCUCCGUCCACGAAUAAGUGUACAUCUAGGUUUUGUGUUUAGUCAAACUUUUUAAACUUUGACUAAAUAUAUAGGGAAAAGUAAUAGCAUUUAUGACACUAAUUUAGUACCCCGAGAUUCGUUUUGAAAUGUAGUUUCAAAUUAUAC
Molecule: non-coding RNA, 1968 nt
Organism: Lolium perenne
Lineage: Eukaryota; Viridiplantae; Streptophyta; Magnoliopsida; Poales; Poaceae
Source: RefSeq, a predicted model, not a curated record